AGCCAUGCAUGUCUAAGUAUAAGCAAUAUACAGUGAAACUGCGAAUGGCUCAUUAAAUCAGUUAUCGUUUAUUUGAUGGUCCCAACCCUACUUGGAUACCAGUGGCAAUUCUAGAGCUAAUACAUGCUAAAACCCCCGACUUCGGGAGGGGUGCGUAUAUCAGACAAAAAACCAAUGCCCUUUGGGCUCCUUGGUGAAUCAUGGUAUCCUAGCGAAUCGCAUGGCCUUGAGCCGGCGAUGGUUCAUUCAAAUUUCUGCCCUAUCAACUUUCGAUGGUAAGGUAUUGGCUUACCAUGGUUUCAACGGGUAACGGGGGAUUAGGGUUCGAUUCCGGAGAGGGAGCCUGAGAAACGGCUACCACAUCCAAGGAAGGCAGCAGGCGCGCAAAUUACCCAAUCCCAACACGGGGAGGUAGUGACAAGAAAUACUGAUACAGGGCUCUUUUGGGCCUUGUAAUUGGAAUGAGUACAAUUUAAAUCCCUUAACGAGGAACAAUUGGAGGGCAAGUCUGGUGCCAGCAGCCGCGGUAAUUCCAGCUCCAAUAGCGUAUAUUAAAGUUGUUGCAGUUAAAAAGCUCGUAGUUGAAACUUGGGCCAGGCCGGCCGGUCCGCCUAACCGCGUGCACUGGUUCGGCCCGGCCCUUCCCUCUGGGGAACCGCAUGCCCUUCGCUGGGCGUGUCGGGGAACCAGGACUUUUACUUUGAAAAAAUUAGAGUGUUCAAAGCAGGCCUAUGCUCGGAUACCUUAGCAUGGAAUAAUGAAAUAGGACGUGCGGUCCUAUUUUGUUGGUUUCUAGAACCGCCGUAAUGAUUAAUAGGGACAGUCGGGGGCGUCCGUAUUCUGCCGCGAGAGGUGAAAUUCUUAGACCGGCUGAAGACGAUCUACUGCGAAAGCAUUCGCCAAGGAUGUUUUCAUUAAUCAGUGAACGAAAGUUGGGGGAUCGAAGACGAUCAGAUACCGUCGUAGUCUCAACCGUAAACUAUGCCGACUAGGGAUCGGGCGGCGUUCAAAUCUUGACCCGCCCGGCACCUCGCGAGAAAUCAAAGUUUUUGGGUCUGGGGG
This 1062-nucleotide ribosomal RNA is filed under the name Macrovalsaria megalospora. Its description in RNAcentral is "SSU rRNA". It matches the Rfam family "Eukaryotic small subunit ribosomal RNA", at positions 47 to 1120 of the family's 1831-position model. Lineage: Eukaryota; Fungi; Ascomycota; Dothideomycetes; Dothideales. The record is from RNAcentral.